This 253-nucleotide ribosomal RNA is filed under the name uncultured bacterium. RNAcentral's name for it is "partial 16S ribosomal RNA". It matches the Rfam family "Bacterial small subunit ribosomal RNA", at positions 524 to 776 of the family's 1533-position model. The record is from RNAcentral.
UACGAAGGGGGCUAGCGUUGUUCGGAAUCACUGGGCUUAAAGGGCGCGUAGGCGGGCUGACAAGUCUGGGGUGAAAUGCCGCGGCUCAACCGUGGAACUGCCUCAGAUACUGUCGGCCUCGAGGAAGGUAGGGGCAUGCGGAACUGUAGGUGGAGCGGUGAAAUGCGUAGAUAUCGGGAGGAACACCAGUGGCGAAGGCGACUUCCUGGCCUGUUCUUGACGCUGAGGCGCGAAAGCUAGGGGAGCAAACGGG